Molecule: long non-coding RNA, 3199 nt
Organism: Triticum aestivum (bread wheat)
Lineage: Eukaryota; Viridiplantae; Streptophyta; Magnoliopsida; Poales; Poaceae
Exons: 4
Source: RefSeq, a predicted model, not a curated record
ACGACGUCUCUGCCCUCUCGCGACCACGCCUGCAGUUAUGGCCACCACCCCACACCUCGCCCCACCUCUUUCCCAGAUCCUCCCCGCCAGCCACCACCCUCGACCUGUGCCUCCGUCGCCGGACCGCCGCGCCCCCGCUCCAGGCGCUCGGGCCGCCCCGUCCACGCGCUGCCCGGGCCGCCGCGCCCUCCCUGCCUUUCCUCACGCUUCCUCCCCCCGCCGCCGCCGCUCCCUCUUCCGCGGGUCGCCGUGCUCCCUCUCUGUAGCCACGGCCACUCGCUCCACCAGACGCUCGAUGCCCAUGUGGCGCUGCUGUCGCACGCAGCGACAAAGGGUUCCACGGCGGAGACAUGGAAGAAGGAUGACGGGGGUGGGGCCAUUGCCAUAGAUGAGCGCAGCCCCGAGCAGAUCCGAUUAGGAUCCUUCUCUCCAUCUCACUCUCUUUGUGCCUUCUCCCCUCUCUGCUCUCCCGUCUCUCUCAAUCUGCAGCAAGGUGUCGCGGGCUCGCGGCUGUGACGCCGGCGGCGGUAGAAACCACCACACCCUCUGCAUCCAAUUUCUCUUUCUAACGUCUCUGUGCAUCAGCAGGUUUUAGUAGACGAUCCAGAUUGAGAAGGUCACAUGAGUUUGCCAGCAGCACCCAUCUGUGUAUGCUCAAUUACCUAUCAGUAAAGAUAUACAUAUCAUUUGGUGGAAUAUGUAAGUAGACCUUCUGUGUAUGCUCGAUUACCUCUUGUAUUGAAUUUUCUGAAAUUUUGGAUCGAUCAACAUGUGAUCAGUGGUCAGAUGUAAAACUUAGCCUUACUAUCAGGUUGCAUGUAAGAGGUACAAUUACUUGAUUAUCAAUGCGUACUUUUCAGAAGCUUCACUAACAAGUGCAAAUAUGUAGUCUGGAACCAUCCCUGAAAAAUUAUUGGUAGCCCAGGUUUAGAAGCAUUUAAAUAUCUUUUCCAAUUGUUGUAAACUCACCAAAGCUUAGGAGCGGAACUCCCUUACAUGGAAGCAUCCUUGCCGAUGAAAGAACACUAUGUUGAAAUAUUUACCUACUAACUAUCAUACUAAGAAAACCCGCCAUUGAUUAGUUCUUAGAUUCUGGAAGGGCCUAUUUGGAUUAUUUAAGAACAAUGCUUCAUACUAAGAAAUUAGGCCGUUCAUAAGUUAUUAUCUCCUGGAAGGAUUUAUUUGAUUGAUAUAAGAUAAAAAAAUUGCAAGCACCCAAUACUUGUUUUCCCUUAAUUAUUGUACAGACUGCUAAUUCCAGAUUUGAAUAUCCUCCCAGCUGAGGAGCAAUCGUAUCACAAGGAUGCACAUGCAGAACAAGCCCGGUUGUCAAAGGGCUUGGGAAUGACACUAAUAAAGUGGAUGGGCAAGCUCAAACCAACGAGGUUACGAUGUGAUUAAUUUCUUAGAAGUUCAUAUAUGUUCUGCUUCGUGUCAUCUUUAGUGCUUCAAGGGCAAACGGCUAGAUUCAAUUUGGAGCGUCGCGGGAAGGAGCAGGCAGCAGCGGCAAUACACUGAGGGUGGAGCAGCAGAGUCACCUGAUCUACCAGUAUGUCUGAUUGAUGCUGCCCACUGCUCCAUCAGCUUGCAUCCAGCAUCUCUAAAUUAGCAUUAUGUCAGGUUCUCGAUAUAUUUGCAAUGGAUUAAACAAUGGGCCUCUCUUGAUUCACACAUGUUCACAUUUCAAGCUAUUUGAUGGUAAAUCUUGAAUUUUAUUUUCUUAUAUUUUUUUAGCGGAUUAAUUAGAACUGAUUUGGUUUCUGAUUUGUUUGGGCGAGUGCAACAGCUUGCGAAGCUUUACCACUAAUCCACAGUCACUAUGUAACAAUUAAAAGGCAGGUCUGGAAACACAUGCUAAUAUAAGGCUUGAAUUGCACAUGUAUUGUCUUAUUAAUCAUGCACAUUUUGGAGCAUGAUUAUUUUCAAAUGGUUUGUCUAACAAUACUGAGGAGACCUGCAUGUCUGUCAACAUUCUUAAUAUGGAACCAUUAGAUGAUGGAUGACCAUUUUUUGCAAUAUCCGACUGACUAAUUGUACAAUUGAUAAGACAAGGGUUCGACUUACUUCCCUCUGCAAACAUCUUCUUUGCUCAAGUAAUUCAAGGUAUGUUUCAUUGCUCAUUUAGGAUGGCUGCUGAACCUCUUUGUGAACCAAGGAAGAAGUUCUCUAUACAAAAAUAACUUAGUUCUACAUUGAAAUUUUCACAUAUGGAUAAUUCAGUAACAAAAAAAUUUGAUUAAUCGAGUUGGGAGAUGUCACACAACACCAUUUGCUCAUAAUUGUUAUCUAUUUGAUCCUCGUGGCAGUCCUAUAUGUCAUGAAUAAUUGAGUCAUAUGUUGAUGCAUAUAUAGUUUGACUGUGCACUUGCACGUGUGCAACGUUCCAAAAGGAUAAUUCAUAACCUAGCAAUUUUAGAUAUCUAUGAACUUCAGUAUGUGCCAUCACGGUCUCAACAGGAUAUGGUACUCUGUUUUGAUUUUUUAUCAAAACCUAAUUAUCAAUUUAUAUAUGUGCGUACAAUCUUUAACCAUUAUAGCUGACGAUCUUUAACGUGUUUCAUCAUCUGUAGGCUGUGCAAUGUGAGAUAAUCAUGUAUGGUGUUACCGAAUGGGCUGGAAAGUUUCUAAAUUAUGAGCUCUGCAUGAUUAAGUGGCGCCGGGACCUGUACUUCAUUUAAUGCAGAGCAAGAAAGGAACAUCAAAGAAGCUGUUAAAAUGGAUGGGAGAAUUUGCUAAAACAUGUUUACCUAUUUUUUUAAAGAUUAAGUGUAUUCUAGAAAGAAAAUAAUUGUAUGUUUCAUGGAGUAACAAAUCAGGAACUGUGCAGGUAUGUGUUCAUCUUGAUGGGAGUUUGUCCGAGAUGCUGGGCGAGGGGAUUGUUUCCGCACUGCAUGUAUCCAAGUGUUUAGGGAUGCCUUUUGCGAACAAAUUUAGUUUUUUUUUGAGCGAGGAAAUUGAUACUUUUUUUGUGAAUGUAUUCGAGUGGGUGAAAUACUCCCCAUUUGUCUCGAGAGGUCCAGGUGUGGAAGCUUAGCACUGGGUUUGUCAUUAUUGAGGCAAGAAUAGUUUGAAUAUGCACACUUUCAUUAUGUACUUGCAGUGCGUAAUGCAUCAUGUGUAGAAAAAGAUAGUUAUAUUUGUAUAGAGUAAAUUACAAUGUUUGAGGUAUUUGAAUAAAAAAUACUUUGUUGUUUCAUGA